UUGUAUAAUCCGAAGACGUGAUGUGGAGCGAAAUAAAGUAGCAAAGCGUGUGAGCCAUGUGCCGAGAAAAGCUGCUAUUGUGUAAUGCGUGCCCGUACCGUAAACCGACACAGGUGGAUGAGGAGAGAAUCCUAAGGCCGACGGAAGAAGCAUUGUUAAGGAAUUCGGCAAAAUGACCCCGUAACUUCGGGAGAAGGGGUGCCUGCGAGAGCAGGCCGCAGAGAAUAGGCUCAAGCAACUGUUUAGCAAAAACACAGGUCUAUGCGAAACCGAAAGGUGAAGUAUAUGGGCUGACGCCUGCCCGGUGCUGGAAGGUUAAGAGGAGAGGUUAGCUUCGGCGAAGCUUUGAAUUCAAGCCCCAGUAAACGGCGGCCGUAACAAUAACGGUCCUAAGGUAGCGAAAUUCCUUGUCGGGUAAGUUCCGACCCGCACGAAAGGCGUAAUGAUUUGAGCACUGUCUCGACAUGCAUCCGGUGAAAUUGAAGUACCAGUGAAGAUGCUGGUUACCCGCGCCAGGACGGAAAGACCCCAUGGAGCUUUACUCCAGUUUGAUACUGGGAUUCGGUACUGCAUGUACAGGAUAGGUGGGAGACGAAGAAGGAUGGACGCCAGUCUGUCCGGAGUCGCUGUUGGGAUACCACCCCUGUAGUACUGGGUUUCUAACCAGUUGCCAUGAACUGGCAAUGGGACAAUGUCAGGCGGGGAGUUUGACUGGGGCGGUCGCCUCCGAAAGGGUAUCGGAGGCGCUCAAAGGUUCCCUCAGAAUGGUUGGAAACCAUUUGAAGAGUGCAAAGGCAGAAGGGAGCUUGACUGCGACACCGACGGGUGGAGCAGGUACGAAAGUAGGACUUAGUGAUCCGGUGGUAUAAAGUGGGAUUGCCGUCGCCCAACGGAUAAAAGCUACCCUGGAUAACAGGCUUAUCACUCCCAAGAGUUCACAUCGACGGAGUGGUUUGGCACCUGGAUGUCGGCUCAUCGCAUCCUGGGGCUGUAGCAGGUCCCAAGGGUUGGGCUGUUCGCCCAUUAAAGCGGUACGCGAGCUGGGUUCAGAACGUCGUGAGACAGUUCGGUCCCUAUCCGGCGCGGGCGGAGGAUAUUUGAGAGGAGCUGUCCUUAGUACGAGAGGACCGGGAUGGACGGACCACUGGUGUAUCUGUUGUCGACCAACGGCAUGGCAGAGUAGCCAAGUCUGGAAGGGAUAAACGCUGAAGGCAUCUAAGCGUGAAGCCCCCCUCAAGAUGAGAUAUCCCUCCUUCGGGAGUAAGACCCCUUGAAGACUACAAGGUAGAUAGGGCAGAGGUGGAAGCAUGGCAACAUGUGGAGCUGACUGUUACUAAUAGGUCGAGGGCUUAAU
Molecule: ribosomal RNA, 1354 nt
Filed under: metagenome
Description: bacterial LSU rRNA
Rfam family: Bacterial large subunit ribosomal RNA
Source: RNAcentral